GGGUCAGUGGGUUGGUCGUGCCACCGGUACGUACUGGUCUCACUGAUUCCUCCUUCCUGAAGAACCGUAAUGCCAUUAAUUUGGUGUUGCGGGAAACAGGACUGUUACUUUGAAAAAAUUAGAGUGUUUAAAGCAAGCUAACGCUUGAAUACAUUAGCAUGGAAUAAUGAAAUAGGACGAUCGAUCCUAUUUUGUUGGUUUCUAGGAUUGACGUA
RNAcentral lists this ribosomal RNA (215 nucleotides) under Glomeromycotina sp. Its description in RNAcentral is "partial small subunit ribosomal RNA". The stretch from base 75 to 215 matches the Rfam family "Eukaryotic small subunit ribosomal RNA", at positions 722 to 864 of the family's 1831-position model. The record is from RNAcentral. Lineage: Eukaryota; Fungi; Glomeromycota.